GACGAACGCUGGCGGCGUGCUUAACACAUGCAAGUCGAACGGAAAGGCCCUGCUUUUGUGGGGUGCUCGAGUGGCGAACGGGUGAGUAACACGUGAGUAACCUGCCCUUGACUUUGGGAUAACUUCAGGAAACUGGGGCUAAUACCGGAUAGGAGCUCCUGCUGCAUGGUGGGGGUUGGAAAGUUUCGGCGGUUGGGGAUGGACUCGCGGCUUAUCAGCUUGUUGGUGGGGUAGUGGCUUACCAAGGCUUUGACGGGUAGCCGGCCUGGGAGGGUGACCGGCCACAUUGGGACUGAGCUACGGCCCGGACUCCAACGGGAGGCAGGAGUGGGGAAUAUUGCACGAUGGGCGGAAGCCUGAUGCAGCAACGCCGCGUGCGGGAUGACGGCAUUCGGGUUGUAAACCGCUUUCGCCUGUGACGAAGCGUGAGUGACGGUAAUGGGUAAAGAAGCACCGGCUAACUACGUG
RNAcentral lists this ribosomal RNA (468 nucleotides) under uncultured bacterium. Its description in RNAcentral is "partial 16S ribosomal RNA". It matches the Rfam family "Bacterial small subunit ribosomal RNA", at positions 28 to 507 of the family's 1533-position model. The record is from RNAcentral.